CUGACUAACAGACAGAUUGAUACAGAUGGAGUCCCCUGACUAACAGACAGGGUAAUACAGAUGGAGUCCCCUGACUAACAGGUUGAUACAGAUGGAGUUCCCUGACUCACUAACAGACAGAUUGAUACAGAUGGAGUCCCCUGACUAACAGACAGGUUGAUACAGAUGGAGUCUACUGACUAACAUACAGGUUGAUACAGAUGGAGACUACUGACUAACAGACAGGUUGAUACAGAUGGAGUCCCCUGACUGACAGGUUGAUACAGAUGGAGUUCCCUGACUCACUAACAGACAGAUUGAUACAGAUGGAGUCCCCUGACUAACAGACAGGUUGAUACAGAUGGAGUCCCCUGACUCACUAACAGACAGAUUGAUACAGAUUGAUACUGACUAACAUACAAAUUGAUACAGAUGGAGUCCCCUGACUAACAGACAGGUUGAUACAGAUGGAGUCCCCUGACUAACAGACAGGUUGAUACAGAUGGAGUCUACUGACUAACAGACAGGUUGAUAGUCAGGAUUCUCCAUCUGUAACAGGUUUCUACAGAUGGAGUCCCCUGACUAACAGGUUGAUACAGGAGAGAGUUUGUCAUGGAGUCCCCUGACUGACUAACAGACAGGUUGAUACAGAUGGAGUCCCCUGACUGACUAACAGACAGGUUGAUACAGAUGGAGUCCCCUGACUAACAGACAGGUUGAUACAGAUGGAGUCCCCUGACUAACAGACAGGUUGAUACAGAUGGAGUCUACUGACUAACAGACAGGUUGAUACAGAUGGAGUCUACUGACUAACAGACAGGUUGAUACAGAUGGAGUCUACUGACUAACAGACAGGUUGAUACAGGAUACAUGGUUUGUCAUGGAGUCCCCUGAAACAGAUGUCUGAACUAGAGACCUUGCUCUCAGCAUUACAAUGAUACUAGUACUUGUCAUCAUCUUCUGUUAUUAUUG
Oncorhynchus tshawytscha (Chinook salmon) is the source of this 951-nucleotide long non-coding RNA. NCBI's taxonomy places the organism in Eukaryota, Metazoa, Chordata, Actinopteri, Salmoniformes, Salmonidae. The record is from Ensembl.